This 391-nucleotide ribosomal RNA is filed under the name uncultured bacterium. RNAcentral's name for it is "bacterial SSU rRNA". It matches the Rfam family "Bacterial small subunit ribosomal RNA", at positions 133 to 518 of the family's 1533-position model. The record is from RNAcentral.
AUAGUAGAGGAUAGCCCGGACGAAAGUCGGAUUAAUACUCUAUGUUGUAUUUUUGAGGACAUCUGACGAAUACCAAAGAUUGAUCGCUAUGGGAUGGGGAUGCGUCUGAUUAGGUGUUGGCGGGUAACGGCCCACCAAGCCGACGAUCAGUAGGGGUUCUGAGAGGAAGGUCCCCCACAUUGGUACUGAGACACGGACCAAAUUCCUACGGGAGGCAGCAGUGAGGAAUAUUGGUCAAUGGGCGAGAGCCUGAACCAGCCAAGUAGCGUGCGAAGGAUGACUGCCCUAUGUGUUGUAAACUGUCUUUUAGUAGGGGAAUAAAGUCCACUACGUGUAGUGGUUUGUAUGUACCCUAUGAAUAAGGACCGGCUAAUUCCGUGCCAGCAGCUGC